This 468-nucleotide ribosomal RNA is filed under the name uncultured bacterium. Its description in RNAcentral is "partial 16S ribosomal RNA". It matches the Rfam family "Bacterial small subunit ribosomal RNA", at positions 28 to 507 of the family's 1533-position model. The record is from RNAcentral.
GACGAACGCUGGCGGCGUGCUUAACACAUGCAAGUCGAACGGAAAGGCCCGGCUUUUGUGGGGUGCUCGAGUGGCGAACGGGUGAGUAACACGUGAGUAACCUGCCCUUGACUUUGGGAUAACUUCAGGAAACUGGGGAGAAUACCGGGUAUGAUAUCCUGCUGCAUGGUGGGGGUUGGAAAGUUUCGGCGGUUGGGGAUGGACUCGCGGCUUAUCAGCUUGUUGGUGGGGUAGUGGCUUACCAAGGCUUUGACGGGUAGCCGGCCUGAGAGGGUGACCGGCCACAUUAGGACUGAGAUACGGCCCAGACUCCUACGGGAGGCAGCGGUGGAGAAUAUUGCACAAUGGGCGGAAGCCUGAUGCAGCAGCGCCGCGUGCGGGAUGACGGCCUUCGGGUUGUAAACCGCUUUCGCCUGUGACGAAGCGUGAGUGACGGUAAUGGGUAAAGAAGCACCGGCUAACUACGUG